RNAcentral lists this transfer RNA (33 nucleotides) under Histrionicus histrionicus (harlequin duck). RNAcentral's name for it is "partial tRNA-Lys". Lineage: Eukaryota; Metazoa; Chordata; Aves; Anseriformes; Anatidae. The record is from RNAcentral.
CUAGCCAAAGAGGAACAACCCCCUCCUUAAUGA